GGGCGAGGUCUCUGGUUCAAGUCCAGGAUGGCCCA
RNAcentral lists this transfer RNA (35 nucleotides) under Canella winterana (wild cinnamon). Its description in RNAcentral is "partial tRNA-Ile". Lineage: Eukaryota; Viridiplantae; Streptophyta; Magnoliopsida; Canellales; Canellaceae. RNAcentral also lists the same sequence under 84 other names. The record is from RNAcentral.